CCUACGGGUGGCAGCAGUGGGGAAUAUUGCACAAUGGGGGGAACCCUGAUGCAGCAACGCCGCGUGGGUGAAGAAGUACUUCGGUAUGUAAAGCCCUGUCAGCAGGGAAGAAAAUGACGGUACCUGACCAAGAAGCCCCGGCUAACUACGUGCCAGCAGCCGCGGUAAUACGUAGGGGGCAAGCGUUAUCCGGAUUUACUGGGUGUAAAGGGAGCGUAGACGGCAAGGCAAGUCUGGAGUGAAAGCCCGUGGCUCAACCACGGGACUGCUUUGGAAACUGUGUUGCUGGAGUGCAGGAGGGGUAAGCGGAAUUCCUAGGGCAGGGGUGAAAGGCGUAGAUAUUAGGAGGAACACGGGUGGCGAAGGCGGCUUACUGGACUGUAACUGACGUUGAGGCUCGAAGGCGUGGGGAGCAAACAGGAUUAGAUACCCUUGUAGUC
This 440-nucleotide ribosomal RNA is filed under the name uncultured bacterium. RNAcentral describes it as "partial 16S ribosomal RNA". It matches the Rfam family "Bacterial small subunit ribosomal RNA", at positions 338 to 795 of the family's 1533-position model. The record is from RNAcentral.